GUGGGGAAUAUUGGGCAAUGGGGGAAACCCUGACCCAGCGACGCCGCGUGAGGGAAGACGGCCUUCGGGUUGUAAACCUCUUUUGUACGGGAAGAAGGAAGUGACGGUACUGUACGAAUAAGUCCCGGCUAACUACGUGCCAGCAGCCGCGGUAAUACGUAGGGGACGAGCGUUGUCCGGAAUUAUUGGGCGUAAAGGGCGCGCAGGCUGUGCUGCAAGUCAGCUGUGAAAUGUCUGGGCUUAACCCGGGCAUGCGGUUGAGACUGCAGUGCUGGAGUGCUGUAGAGGCAAGUGGAAUUCCCAGUGUAGCGGUGAAAUGCGUAGAUAUUGGGAAGAACACCGGUGGCGAAGGCGACUUGCUGGGCAGCAACUGACGCUGAGGCGCGAAAGCCAGGGGAGCAAACGGGAUUAGAUACCCCAGUAGUCC
RNAcentral lists this ribosomal RNA (427 nucleotides) under uncultured bacterium. RNAcentral's name for it is "partial 16S ribosomal RNA". It matches the Rfam family "Bacterial small subunit ribosomal RNA", at positions 354 to 796 of the family's 1533-position model. The record is from RNAcentral.